Brassica napus (rape) is the source of this 1331-nucleotide long non-coding RNA. RefSeq lists it as uncharacterized. The record is from RefSeq and is a predicted model, not a curated record. The transcript has 3 exons. NCBI's taxonomy places the organism in Eukaryota, Viridiplantae, Streptophyta, Magnoliopsida, Brassicales, Brassicaceae.
AAAUUCUUUCAAAAAAAAAAAAAACAAACUUGAUGUUCUGUUUGUAGACAGCAAGAAUUGUUCUCUUCAUCUACAUGUCGUAACCAAUCUGUUGUCUUAAAGCUUAACUAGAUUUUGACCCGCGCUUUAUAUCAUUUUUAUAAAUGUCUAAUUACAUAAAUACUUUCAUUAUUAUAAUAUAUUGAUGAUAUAUGUUGUUUAUUUGAAGAUCAAAAUGUGUUACUCACUUACUUUAUACCGUUCUUACUGGACUGACAUCGGUUUGGACCAUGUUCUUACGAUAUAUUUUUAUCAUAGUCUAAAUUUAAUAUUUGAUUUUAUAAAUAUUUAUCGUGUGUUUAUUGUAAAAUAACACAGAGUUUUAUAAAUACAUGAUAAUUUCUAAUAAUAUAAGUUUUAAAAUUUUGUGCUCGAUUUAUUUAUAUUUGAAGUUUUUAAAAGAUAUGUGUAAAUUAUUUAUAUAUUUAAUUGUUAGUUGGAAAAAGAAAAUUUAAUAGUUAUUUUAUAUGUUUAAACAUGAAUUUUUAGAAAAUAGUAAUUAUGUUUUUGUAUUGGGCUCAAAUAUGUUUAUACAUGUUAAGUUUUAGAAAUUAUCAGACGUAAGAGCCCGUAUGAAAAAAGAUUAAUCAGCGUAUUGGGCUCAAAUAAUGUUUUCGUAAACUUGACCCACCCAAGUCGAGUACUUGGUCAUUUUUUUUGUUGGCCAAUUUAGUACUUGGUCGUAAAGACCGUUUACGUGUUGAAAUAAAAGAACAGAAAGGAAAGAAAGAUAAAAAAAGGACAGAUUCUUAACCGAUGAUCAAAUCGUUCCCCAUGGUGAAAAUCAAAGAUAGUCGACUAUUGCCUGAGUAAAUAACAACUCAGAAACUCGAAAUCAAAAGAUCGUAACAUGCAGAUGAAUCUGUUCUUAGAUCUGAAAUAUUAUGAAAGGGAACAGACGAUUACCAUGCUAUCAUCAUACGUCGGGGAUUCUGCAUAAAUCUGAAGAAACCUGAUGGAAACCACGAGCAAGAACAGUGGUGGAUUCAUUGUCUGCUCCGGCUGCAAGAGAGGAAAGGAUAUAUAAUACUACAACCGUGAAAGAUAAGUUCCUUUAAACAAUUGUAAAAAGAACUAUUUAUUUAAAUAGAAAGUUCUUAGACUUUUAGUCUGAUAUAUUCUGUUGUAAUAAGUAGACAGUAACAAACGCUUACAUUCUCAUCAGCCAAGAUGAAUUUUAUGGUUUCCCUUGAUAGUUGUAUGUUUUGUUUUCAAGAGUGUAGAACCUUCACAUGAAUAAACCAUGUAUUUUUCGAGGGACUCAAGUCUUUAAUGACAGUAACUUUUUCGUA